CUGAGUUUGGAUCCUGGCUCAGAACGAACGCUGGCGGCAGGCCUAACACAUGCAAGUCGAACGGAUCCUUUAAGGAUUAGUGGCAGACGGGUGAGUAACGCGUGGGAAGCUACCUUGUGGUAGGGGACAACAGUUGGAAACGACUGCUAAUACCCUAUGAGCCCUAUGGGGGAAAGAUUUAUCGCCAUGAGAUGUGCCCGCGUUAGAUUACGCUAGUUGGUAAGGUAAUGGCUUACCAAGGCGACGAUCUAUAGCUGGUCUGAGAGGAUGAUCACGCCACACUGGGACUGAGACACGGCCCAGACUCCUACGGGAGGCAGCAGUGGGGAAUAUUGGACAAUGGGGGCAACCCUGAUCCAGCCAUGCCGCUGUGUGUGAUGACGUGCCUUAGGGUUGUAAAGCACUUUCAGCAGUGAAGAUAAUGACAUUAACUGCAGAAGAAGCCCCGGCUAA
This 453-nucleotide ribosomal RNA is filed under the name alpha proteobacterium 1726. RNAcentral describes it as "bacterial SSU rRNA". It matches the Rfam family "Bacterial small subunit ribosomal RNA", at positions 1 to 500 of the family's 1533-position model. The record is from RNAcentral. Lineage: Bacteria; Pseudomonadati; Pseudomonadota; Alphaproteobacteria.